Bombus huntii is the source of this 9295-nucleotide long non-coding RNA. RefSeq lists it as uncharacterized. The record is from RefSeq and is a predicted model, not a curated record. Lineage: Eukaryota; Metazoa; Arthropoda; Insecta; Hymenoptera; Apidae. The transcript has 2 exons.
CCAACAUAUUCUACUAUAAAUGGAGUAAUUAAAACCUUUCAACAAGCGAGUAAAAAAUGGAAAUAUUCUUUCGUUAUAUUUUUUGUAAAUAAUAUCUUCUAAUGGAAUAUGUUUCAAGACGAAAGGACGUAAACCAGCUACAAUAUAUUACUAUUUAAGGAUCUAAUUUGUUAUAGAUACUCUUGAGUCUAAUAUCUAAAGUAGUCCAAGAUAAAAAAACGAGACAUCGUUAUAAACAUUGGAAACGUAUUUUGUCAAUACCAAUAUUGUAUUUAUUUUAGAAUUAAUAAUUAUAAUUUUUAAUUGGUUUUGUUUCAUAACGUAGCUAAUUAUGUACCAGAGUAUGCCUUUAUCUUUUAAUCUGAUAGCCAAAAUAUCUCAAGAGGAAAUUUGAGAUACUGUUACAAAUCAUUAACAUCAUUAUCAAUUUUUCUUUAUUUUUAUUAUUUUCUUAUCGAUGCAUUAAAUUCGCCAUUGACAAUGUUAGGUGCUUUACCCGAACAAGUAACUGUUAUAUGUGCGAAUAAUAUUUAAUUUAAUUAUUACACCUGAUAGCGAAAUAUUUCUCAUCUCCAAAAUUUGUUUUUUUUUUUCGAAUUAUGCAUGAACCUGGUUCCCCCAUUGUCUUGUAGCGAUAUACAAUUUCUAUUGCAAUAAUGGCAUAAGAUAACAAGUAGGUUUCUCGUGAGGUGAAAUUAACAGACAGCAGUGAGCGAUUGCCAUAACCACGAGGUUGAUCUAUCUGUCUUCUCUUUGUUGAUUGGGUGGGAAGGAGAGAAACAGCAUAGUAACGACAGUUCGUUCGAAUGGGGCAUUUUGUAGCCUUGCUGAAAGUUCCAGAAAUGGGAUUGAGCGAAACAGUUUCUUAAAUUGGCAAAACCAAACCGAGAAAAUAUUCUAACACGAUCAAUUCGUGUAAACUCUAUAGGCGUCGCAUUUAAAAAGAAAUACAUACUCAAAUAUAUAUAUGAAAUAUACAAAAUGAUAUGAUGACAACGAUCUAGACCAUGUGGCGAUUACUUUGAUAUCUUUCAAUAAAAAAUUCAUGGGAUGUUUCACUCCAGAAAAAAUGCACCGAUUGUUCAAUUAGAGUUUGGAGUGCGAAUAAAAAAAAAAAGGUAAUCGUUCAACUAUUUCAAAAGAUAUUUAAGACAUAAAAUAUAAAUUUAUAUCGAUAUAUUUAUUUCUUAGUGACAGUAAAACAAAUUCGUUUCUCACGAAUCUAAUUUUUAAUUAUUAAGGAUUGGUGGAACGAAGAUACUAAAAUGUCUUUCAACUGUAAAGGCUCAUGAUCCAUCGAGUUUUAGUAAAUCACAAAUAUUUCCUUCUUCUUAAAUUGUGUAUUUGUUAAAGUAUGCCUACCAGCAGCAUCGUUGGAAAAUUUCUGGAAAAGCAAAAACCGUAACCGCUUGAAAAAGUCUUGGCGGGAAACGAACGAGCGCGACUAAAUAUGAAUCGAGCUCUCGAUAGCAAUACUCUAUAGAUGUACCGCCGAUGCCGGUAGCGGUUGUGGUUGUGGUGGUGGUGGUUUUCCUAGCUUUUCUUUCAGUUUCUCUUCCUGACGCGUGCCCUUCAGCUUCCCCUCGUCUAUUCUGUCUUCUUUCUAGACACGUUCAGCUCGCGUUGCAGCUUUCGAAAUUUUUUUACUUUCCCUCGUCUCUUUCUACGCGUUCCACACCCUCGUUCGGUCCCUUUUCGUUACUCUUUUCCAUUUUCACCCCUCUAUUCCUCUGCCGGUGACUUUUUUCCUUCGCUGCUCGAUUCGCUUCGCGAUAUGACGUAAAAAUGGUACGGGUCUCCGGCUGAAUUUCACGGAAUGGUCUCUGUAAACGCGUGGUCGAGGUAAAUUUAAAUUCGUAAGCAGGAACUGGGAAAUAGCGUAGCUAAAACUACGCGAUCGUUGGAAUAAGAAACGCGAGCAAUGCCGAACUCUCGAAACUUGGCUAUUGUCUUCCGCGAAGUUCCCCGAUUCGAUACCGAUGCGGGGAGAAAGCUGAGAAUUCUUCUCAGAAGUAUAAGAAACCCUGUAUGUGAUCGCAUAUUGAAUACAUGCUAAACAAUAUCGUUUCGCAAAGUUUUUAUAAAAAUGUCUCGCGUCAUGCGUUUCAAUUUUUUAAAUUUGCGCGCUUAUCAAGUUUGUUAGAUGUAACAUAUACGCGCGUAAUGAUUUGUAUAAGUGUGUCGGUGAUUAUGAAAGUGACCUAAAUCGAGGAUCUUAAAAAAAUAAAUUUAUCAUUCAUUUUGAGUUACGUUUAUUAACGUUGUAACAAUCUGAAAAUAUCUUUGCAAAGCAGUAACAAUUGAUGAUACCGUUGCAUUGAGUCGGUUGUUACGUCGUUAACAGAAUUCAGAAUUCGCGAAACUUUAAAUAUCUCGAAACGAAAAAUAUAUGACUCAGGUGGCUUUCAUUGUCACUGGCACAAAUAUGAUUUAUCGAAGCUUUUGUGAUUCUAUGUUUUAUAAUAUAUUCGUUUUAGUUUAUUCAUUUUUCGAUGAAACUGCCUAUCGAAAUUAUUAAUUUGGCAAUUUUUGAGUAAAGGACCGGUAGAUCACUUUAAAAUUGCUUAAUUCAUGAAUUUUACAUGCAACUUUGUAUUAUUUGAACAACAGUUUCAGUGAAAAAUGAUUUAUUUAUACAAAAUUUUCUGUUCCUUAGGAAAUAAAUAUUACAUCAAAAUUUGACAUAUCGGAAACAUUGUUACGUUAGAAUUGAUCAUUAUGAUAUUCCAGCCUGUUACCUUUAACUUGAUAAUUCGAGACUUUUCUGUCCAAACGUUGAAAACUUAAUUAUCCAAACGAUAAUUGAGAAUCAUUUAUUAAGUUUCGAUCUAAAUAUAUUAUUUAUCUUUUAGUUUUGAUAUCUUUCAAGAUAUUUCGAAAUUAAAUUGCUAGUUUAAAUCGUUUAUGAAUGCCACGAGUAAGAAAAUAAAUAUUAGUAGCUUGGAAAAUAAUAGUAACCAAAAGCGGAGAAAAUAGAGAAAGGUGGAAGGAAAAAGAAUAGGAAGCGAAGUAUGAGAAAUAAACUGAAAAUAGUCGGUUUCUAAUCCUGGCGAAGUUCUUGCGUAGGUUCUCUCUCUUGACGUUCCAUCGUAAGAAUAGAAAAGCUUUGCGGAGCGAAGACGAUCUAUUUAGUAACUUCGUUCGCCAUUGUCUCUUUGACUUCGGAUUCCUUUAUUGUUCUGUAAUGCUUUUGUUACAGUUCGUUGGGCUUAAGAGGAUUUAGCCAUUGCAAGUAUCUAUGGCUAGUGUAAGCGUAAAGACGUGCGUUUUUACGUUUUCAAGAGUAAAACGCAUUAACAAGAUAUAUUAUCUACCUUUUUUAUACGAAAUGAUAAGUUAUAAAAUUGCAGUUCUUUCAUAUCGUUAGUGUUCAGAACGAUUAUUAACGAGAAAUAUAAUAUUGAUUUAGAUUUUAUUUAUAUGUAUGAAUCUUAGUUUUGUGUAAAAAGACACUGCAAGGGUGGUAGUCAUUUCUUUGUGAAACAAACCUAGAACACGGUUAAUUUAAAAACUUUCAAAAUUCUUUCUCUAAUUAUAAAUAUGCACGUUUUACUCUACUAUCAAUGCAAUUUACGAUGUAGCGUAUUAUAACACGUUAUAUAAUGUUAUACAUCGAUAUCUUCGUAUCAUUUCGUAUAUUUGAAAAAUAUUAUUUACUUCAUAUUAAUAUAUUUUACCUAAUAUUAUUUACUAUUAUAUUAAUUUAUAUAAUAUCACUGUGUUACAUAAACAGGCAAUAAAAUAUUUAUAAUAAGAUCAAAGGCAAAAGUUAGAGUAAAGAGUUUCAUUUAAAUUAUAUCUUGUAUAUUGGCAAUAAUUUAAGAACGUCUAUAUGUAUAUGGUAUACGUAUACCCACGCAAAGAAAAGAUUAACAUUCCAUAGAAAAGGAAAGAAAAGAAAUAAAACAGAGAAAACAUAAAAAUGCAAUAUCGCGAGCCAAAAGAUUUUCGAAAUUAGACACGUUGUAACGUGAGAUGGGCAACGAUCUCGAGAAGAUUUUGAACAGCCGUAUUCGUUUCCGAUCCCACGACGAUCGAUAAACGAACGUUAUCCUGCGGUUGCAACGGCAGCGACCUGUCGAUUGCACCUGGUCCAGAGAGUGGAGCGUAGUCGCACAUACACCAGUUUGGCGCCGCAACACAGCAUAUCUGGUCCUGUUUGAUGUCCAGGACCGGGUUCCACGGUCCGGAUCAGGAGGGUUAACAGCUGAGGCGGGAGGGGAAAGAGGGAGAGGCAGAGCUCGCUUUCUCGCAUCCGUAUAAGGUUGUGCGUGCAUUGCAACUUGCUAUGCUGUUCGGUGCUCUCUCCUCCUCCUCCUCCUCCUCCUCCUCCUCCUCUCUCUUUCUCUCUUCCUCCCUUUAUGGAAAGUACAGCUUGCACGAAACCUCCGGGCCACGAAUUUGAGACUGGCCAGCCCAUUCGGCCACGCAAUGUGCUAGUAGUAAUUAUCGCGAGAAGGUUGUUUCACCCUGCGGCCAUACUUCUCCGUUGCAAAGCGGAUGCAUCGUGGAUGCAUCACGGACGCGUUGAUACCUCGCUAGGUGUUAUUCAAUUAACAAAACUCUAGAGAAGCGGCUAGACUUUAGCCGUAUUCAAUUCUAAUGUUCAUGCGGGUAUGGGUGUCUUUUGUCGAGCUGUACCGUAACUCUGUUUGCCGUAAUGAGAUUAGCUACGCGUCGACAAUACGCCGAGAAAUUUAUUUCUUUGCAAGGUGCGAGUUUCGUAUCGGGACACGCUCUCUAACAAUGUCUUCAUUUGUCCUCGUUUGUCGCCGAUAACUGCCUUUGAGCUACCUACCGGAUCGGAGUUACCUUUUUAGUGAGGAUUAACGCUGUUGAUAUGAAAGUUGAGAACGUUGUGUACUUUCUUUACCUCGAUUGCUAUGAAACUCACGGUUGCCUCAACAUGAUCUUGACCUGUUAAGACUUGAGAAUGUUAGUGUUUUAAGAGAGUUGCCGAGGACGAAGAGUUCGCUACUAUUUAGGUAUAUCAUACCAUUGCGAUGAACGAAUUUAUGGAAAUAAAUCGUUUGUUGUUUCGAAAUUGAACGUUAAUCGUGCAUCUUGGUAACAAAAUUGAGAAAUUUACAGAAAGUGGAAUCGAUCGUUAACGGGCUUUUAAAAGACUCGAUUGAUUCUUGCCUUCGCUUUACUGUUCGAUGCAGCGAUCUCAGCUCGGAACACGGUCCAUGACAUCGAUUCAAAACGAGUCGAUCCAUUUCUGUAACUAAUAUUUCUACCGCAAACAAUACGAUUACACGGGCAAUUAGCUGGCAAGUCGCGGUCGAACCGCAAAACGAUCCGGACUUGGAGCAAAUCGAGCGAACCCCACGUUCCAGGUAUGUAUUCCUUUAAAAGGCAGAAUGUCGAUGGUAUCAGUGGGGUUAAAAGUGUUGCCUUCUACAUUCCGUUUUCGCACGUGGGGUUGUUAAAACAUCAACAAGUACGACCGCUGCGAUUCUAAGUGCACUCGCAGUUCUACCCAGCAGGAGAGCGUUGCUAUUAUUGUUGCUGGUGCAUUCAUGAGCCUCGACACGCGUGAGACACGUUUCGCGCGGACAAUGCAGAACAAUGGAGUCUUGCCCGGCUAUAUGGAAAAUUAUCUCGAGAUCGAAUUACAUUAAUGUUUCCAUUCCGGACUAUUUACGGCUUGUACACGUCAGUUGCAUUCGAUCCCCUCGCAUUUUCAACGAAAUUUUAACGAGUAUUUGGGAUCAAGACUAUCGAGCAGCGGAGAUCGGCUCGUUUGGUUUUGGGCAUAUUUAAUGGAUGCCGUGGCAGUUAAUUUGUAUCGUGUUUGUCUGCUGUGCGCGUAAUACGAAGUACAUUGUGAUGCAAAACGUAUGUAUUGUUAAAUUGAACAUCAGACUGUCUACCGUUGAUACAAGAUGAUCUUGAUUUUCUGUUAAAAUCGGUUUCUUGUUAAACCCAUUGUAUCCACAGACGAGAUAUCUACAUUAGGAGGUAACUCAUACGACAAAGCAGUACAAGGAUUCUAAAUAUUGUAGUCUUGUUAUUGGGUAAUAAUUCCUCUUCUUUUAUUCAGUAUUUGAAAAUUUUAUUUAUUUAUUUAUUCUUUUAAACCAGAUAGCCCUGUCUCUCCGCUCUCUGUGUCACUUCUUUCUUAUGCAACCCUGAUAUCGACGGUCUAAAGUCUGAAACAUAUUCAUAAUUUUCUUCAGCAAUGCUCUGUAAGAAAUUAAUGUUACAACUAAAUAGUAAUAAUUAAUUCCAUUUCCAUUUCACUUGUACAAAUAUCUACAAUAGUCGUAUAGAUAAAGCGUGUUUAUCUCAUUCUGCUCGCUAAUAAUCUUGCAAGGUGCACGUGACCUUAAACUUUUAAUUAAGAAAAAAAAAAAAAAGAAAAGAUGGUAAGAUUACGUAAAUUUUUUCGAUAGUCUUUCGAAUGUCUAAAUCGGACGAUCAUAGUUUUUAUACUUACGAUGAGAGGCAAGCGAAGUUUCCUUCGUUGGAAUCGUAGGAUUAACUUUGGUGACUAAUAGAUAGAAAAUGCCAGAUAUCUUUCGAACUGUCUCUGGCAGUAAAAUUCGAAAGACAAGAUAUCUCAAGUUUGUCUGGGAUAUGUUAAUGAAAAGACACGCCUGAUAUCCCGUCGAAAGUGUCGCACGAAAGACAGGUUGCGUCACGAAAUAUCUUAUCCGUGGAUGGGAAAGGGUUAAAUGCACGAUUAAAAGUUGCCAGCGAACGUGACAACGUCCUCGGAGCAAGCAUUACGCACUCAUGUUUUACGUGUGUCUGCAAAGGGUAUCGUUGAUAGAGUUACGAGCUUAAGUGCCGCGGAGCUUGUAAUAUUUUUAAUUGUACGAUUCAAUUAUGUCGGGUCGAAUUUCCGUGGAUAAUUGCAGUGCGAAAAGUUACGAUAGACCGCUCGAGACGAUAGCGAAUCCCUAAAUUUUACCUUUGAUUUUGCUAAAAGAAGAUUGCGGCUAGUGACGUGAUUUGAAAUAAUUUAAAUUUCUUCGAAUUUAUACGCAUACGCUAUAGUUUUAUAUUUUUAGGUACGCUAGUUUUACAAUUAGAUUUCGUAGAUUUGUAUAUAUUUUUAUCAAUGUAAUUGAAGAAAUAGAACUUAAGGGGAGAUUUGUUUCGCCCAUUAAAUAUUUUAUCGAGUAGGAUAUUUCGAAUAUUUUGUACGUCUUUGCAUAUUAUAAGCAUUCUGUGCUUUUUUGUACCUCUGACUUUAUUCAUAAAUGCACGAAUAUCCGCGAUCUAUCAACAAUUGAUCAGCUAAUUUAAUAAAUUUGUGUGAAAAGUAUAUGAAUAUAUUCAGUCGAAUUUUUAAAUUAAUAUCAAUUAAUGUGAAUUUAAAUGCUAUUCAGAAUAUUUGAUAGAUUUCUGGUAGUAGUGCGUAAUGGGAUAUGUUUAACGUUUAAAAGCAUGUAUCUAAGGAUUAAAAAAAGAAAACGUUAAUAAGAAAUGAGAAAUAUAAAUGUACAAAUAAUGUAAAACUGAUUUACUUCACUUUUCACGUAGUACCUAUGUCUAAAUUAAUCAGUAAUCUAAUUAAAAAGAAUACUCUUAGAUUAAAUUAGGAGAUCAUAAAAAGCAAAUAACCUUUGAAAUAAACAAUGUGUUAACAUAUAAUUCAUAUUCUCAACUAUUCGACAAAUCACAACUCGGACUCGUAUUUAGCAUGUAGUGGCUAAAAUAUCGAAUCACAUUCGAAAUGAUUGAAUUCGUACAGUAUUAGAAAAUCUCGAAGGAACAUGGAACGAAGUAUCAAACAGAAAUCGCUACUUAGCGAUAGCAUUCUCAAUUAAGAAUCUUCGUUCUUGGAUCGUGUUCUUCCGAGCACGUUUUCGGCUCCGCGUGUGGCGAGCUGCUGGAGGGAGAAAAAGAUUUUUGCACGUGUUGGGCGGGCCAGGUCAUCGGCCUGCAUCGCAGUAAUUUAUUUUAAACUCAUGACAGAACGUCGGACAAAAUUUCUCUCGGCGUUGCGCAACGCCGUCAGUUUCGGUUGUCUCUGUCGUGUGUUUAUCGUUCUCUCGUGACCAAUUAGUAAAAUCGGCGCCUGGAUAAGAAUAUUUCAUUUCAAUCGCUUCGCGCGUUCAGUUUCCUUACGUUCACUGCAAAUAUCUCGCGUUACUAAUUAUAAAUGCGUAUUAGGGAACUAUAGAGCUACAAUCGUAUUAACAGGUUUUUAAAACUUUUGCACUCUAAUAUCGCAUUGACGUUCAAUUAAUAUCCAUACUCGAUUUAUAUUACAUAUAUGUAUGUAUGUAAAAUACGAUUAAUAAGGAUCAGAAAGUGUAAAAUCCUCUUGUAGACUGUGUUUAACUCUUUGAGUGUUCACUAAAAUAACCAAACAUCUAGGAGCAUCGGGAUGUAAUUAAUUUCAAGAUAGUAUUCAGUUUUCUCAGAUAAAUAAUCUAAAUUUAUAAAUAUAGUCUGUUAAUUCGAGAUUAUUCGUCGUUAAUUUGUUUAAAAUAUAUACUGUGGCUCGUGAAAAUAUUUUAACACUUAUACAAAAAAUUUUGCAAGUCAUACGACAUGAUAUGACUAAUAUAAUCAUACUUGCCAGUUACUUAUUACAUUAAUAAGUCUCGAUAUUUAGUUGGAUUGCUUUUAUUAUAUGUUUACAACAUAGUUAUUCAUACUGUAUGCUAAUCUUUCAGUAACUGCAUAUUCGCAAUAAAUAUUUUCUAACUUUCAUAUGUAUUUUUAGAUAACUUUCAUCAAUAUAUAUAUGAUAACAUACUUCAUUAUAGCGUUAAGAAAAUUUCAAAUUAUUUUAUAUAACACGUAUAAUAUGUACAAAACAAUUUGCUAUCGUAAGUGAUUGAAUACUUUCGUGAACCGAUAAACGCUCAUAAACGAUGUACAAACUGAACACUCAGAGGGUUAAGGAAGAGUAGUAUUUGAUGAUCGAGUGUUUGGAACAUAAUCUUGUCUAUUUUGCGAUAUUUAAUUAUCGUAGUAAAAUUGUUAACAUUGGACAAGGUUUAAACGCAGAAAACAAAUUAAUUUUAUGUACAGCGCUCUUUUUCAAGUGGCUUAUAAUACAAAAGAGAGAAAACUAUCUUUAAUCAACGUAGCAUUUAAAAUUAUUUUUUUUUCGGAACAGAAUAUGAUUUUAAAUUGGCGAAUAAUAAGCGCUCAAGUAUAUACGGAUCAUUAGCUUGCCACUAGAGGAUGAAAUUGUGGUUCUUUUUGUUUGUAAUACCGUAACUAAAUUGCAUUCUGUAAAAAGUAAGCAAACGUUCAUAUACUUUUGAGCGGAUGUGUACACCACCAAGUGCGGAUUAGGAUUUUGAAAAAAAAAAAAAAAGAAUAA